GAUGAACGCUGGCGGCGUGCUUAACACAUGCAAGUCGAACGGAGUUUAGCGCUUCCAAAGCUUCGGCAGAGGAGUGUUAAACUUAGUGGCGGACGGGUGAGUAACGCGUGGGUAACCUGCCAUAUACAGGGGGAUAACACUUAGAAAUAGGUGCUAAUACCGCAUAAGCGCACGGCAUCGCAUGAUGCAGUGUGAAAAACUCCGGUGGUAUAUGAUGGACCCGCGUCUGAUUAGCUUGUUGGUGAGGUAACGGCCCACCAAGGCGACGAUCAGUAGCCGACCUGAGAGGGUGAUCGGCCACAUUGGAACUGAGAGACGGUCCAAACUCC
RNAcentral lists this ribosomal RNA (329 nucleotides) under uncultured Lachnospiraceae bacterium. Its description in RNAcentral is "bacterial SSU rRNA". It matches the Rfam family "Bacterial small subunit ribosomal RNA", at positions 28 to 339 of the family's 1533-position model. The record is from RNAcentral. Lineage: Bacteria; Bacillati; Bacillota; Clostridia; Lachnospirales; Lachnospiraceae.